Non-coding RNA from Podarcis lilfordi (Lilford's wall lizard), 89 nucleotides. The record is from the annotation of a GenBank genome assembly. NCBI's taxonomy places the organism in Eukaryota, Metazoa, Chordata, Lepidosauria, Squamata, Lacertidae.
GCUGCGAUAGCUCAGUCUGCAGAGCAUGAGACUCUUAUAUCACAGGGUUUGUGGGUUUGAGCCCCAUGUUGAAAUCCUGCAUUGCAGAA